This 785-nucleotide ribosomal RNA is filed under the name uncultured archaeon. RNAcentral describes it as "bacterial SSU rRNA". It matches the Rfam family "Archaeal small subunit ribosomal RNA", at positions 23 to 808 of the family's 1478-position model. The record is from RNAcentral.
GUCACUGCUAUCAGUGUUCGACUAAGCCAUGCAAGUCAAAUGUUCUUCGUGAACAUGGCGGACUGCUCAGUAACACGUGGAUAACCUGCCCUUAGGAUUGGCAUAACACCGGGAAACUGGUGAUAAUACCGAAUAGACCAUUUAUGCUGGAAUGCUAUUUGGUUCAAAGGCUUCGGCUGCCUAAGGAUGGAUCUGCGGCCUAUCAGGUAGUAGUGGGUGUAAUGUACCUACUAGCCUACGACGGGUACGGGUUGUGAGAGCAAGAGCCCGGAGAUGGAUUCUGAGACAUGAAUCCAGGCCCUACGGGGCGCAGCAGGCGCGAAAACUUUACAAUGCGGGAAACCGCGAUAAGGGGACACUGAGUGCCAGCAUAUUAUGUUGGCUGUCCACAUGUAUAAAAACCAUGUGUUAGCAAGGGCCGGGCAAGACCGGUGCCAGCCGCCGCGGUAACACCGGCGGCCCGAGUGGUGAUCACUUUUAUUGGGUCUAAAGGGUCCGUAGCCGGUUUGAUCAGUCCUCCGGGAAAUCUGACAGCUCAACUGUUAGGCUUCCGGGGGAUACUGUCAGACUUGGGACCGGGAGAGGUAAGAGGUACUACAGGGGUAGGAGUGAAAUCUUGUAAUCCCUGUGGGACCACCAGUGGCGAAGGCGUCUUACCAGAACGGGUCCGACGGUGAGGGACGAAAGCUGGGGGCACGAACCGGAUUAGAUACCCGGGUAGUCCCAGCCGUAAACGAUGCUCGCUAGGUGUCAGGGACGGUGCGACCGUUUCUGGUGCCGCAGGG